Long non-coding RNA from Equus caballus (horse), 3310 nucleotides. NCBI's taxonomy places the organism in Eukaryota, Metazoa, Chordata, Mammalia, Perissodactyla, Equidae. The record is from Ensembl.
UUUUCUCUUUUUUUUUUUUUUUGGCAGUAGUGCUCUUUUAUUUAGAAAAUAGUGUGGAAUAGCAUGGGGACAGGACCCAUGGGCAGUCAGAGCUUCUGCUGCCGCCGCUUCUGCUGCCCCCGCUGGCAUGGGGACAGAGCCCAUGGGCAGGCAGAGCUGCUGCUGCUGCCCCCGCUGGCAUGGGGACAGGACCCAUGGGCAGGCAGAGCUGGUGCGUGGGGACAGAACCCACGGGCAGUCAGAGCUCCUGCUGCUGCCCCGAGUUGAGGGUUAGGGCUAAUUUUAUAAGGCAUAGGUAUAUGAUUCAUCUCUUUACAAGACAAAGGAAAGAACAUGAAAAAAAGUUAAAAUGGUAUCAGUGCGGGUGGGGUCUGGUCAUUGGGUGAUCCCAUGACUUUUAGACAAGAAUCAAAUCGGAUUAAGUAAAGGUUAGAAAGGUUAGACGCCACCACCCUAAACCAGUUACAUGAGAUUGCCAGACAGCAACCAACUUAAGUUCUUGCCUCUGGCAUUGACCAAGAGCCUCUAGAGAUAAGACCAUCCCCCCCCUCUUCCUGGCACAGAGAGGGAGGCAUCUUCACAGAUAGAGGUUUCCCUUAGAAAUGUAAAUGUUUCCCAACAAAGGGGCAAACAAAUUCCACUCCUUGGAGCCUGAAUCUCAUCUGUAGUUUAAAACUAACNNNNNNNNNNNNNNNNNNNNUUUUUUUUUUUUUUUGCUUCAGUCUUAGGAAUUAGUGAUGGGCUUAGAUAGUAGUUCCUGGAGAGGGGAGAUGAUAAUCCUUUUCGUGAUAAAGGAACUAGGUGGAGUCUGAACUGCCUCUAGAGCUGUAUUUCCAUUCUUGCAAGGAUUUUCUAAAGACAGUUGCUCUUGAUUUCCCACAAACUGGAUCGUAACGCAAAUUACAUUCCAGUUUGAUCUACCUGUCCAGCUGCAUCACAAAAGCACAGAGAAACCCCUCAAGUUUUCUCCCAGAUGGAGUUAGAAUGCAUCCGCAGGGUGGGCCUCCGGGGAUGCUUAGGGGCCUUCCCUGUGGCAGUAAAGCCAGUGUCUGACUGACAGCAGAUGGAGAAAGGCUGCAGAGGCCGAUUGCGGAUGUUGACAUAGCUAUAAGAUUUAGUCAAGUCCCGCUCAGCCUGGGCACUUUGUCUCCGAGCCAGCACAGUUGAGGUAGGGAAGCAAGAGGCAAAGGCCUGGAACUGGCUGGAGGCUGGGGCUCCUAGAGCCAGGUUUGAGAGUUAAAUCCCUGGCAAAAGGCUUAUUUUUCCAAUUUUACAGAAGGUCAAGGUUCUGCUCAGGUCCAGCCUGAACUUUAACCUCGACUUGGUGACAACAAAGGAGAUGAUGAAUAAGACAGACAAAGAAAGGAAAAGAAGAGCUCAAACCUCGCCCUCCUGGCCUCUUCCAGAGGGUUAUCAAGAUAAGAGUCACACAACAGUUCCUAUGCUGCGGCACACUACCCUAGCACGACAGUUCACAGAAUGAAUCACAGGUCUCCUACCCUCAUAACCGACUCAGUAGGUGACUAAAAUACUCAAUGAGUCAACCGUCAAGAGAGGGCACCCCCACUUAGGGUUGCUGGGGUGAUCAGGCCCAGAAACCCAAAGUUGGGGCUCCCAGCGGUGGAGCCUUUUACUCUUUAAAGAUUUCUUUCCCAAUUGCAAAGCUCAAAUGGAGACGAAAAUGGCCAUUGUAACUCUUAAGAGAGACAAAAGAAACGGGUCCAUUACCAUGAAAAAUCCCCCCUGAACCUAGGGCAGCGUCCUACCCGUCGUUCCUACUGUGGGGUUCCUAUAGCAAGGGGUGAUGGGGGCGUCCCCCGGCAUUGCAUCCCUUGUAUACCUUCCCUGUUAUGCCUGGCAGUAACAGGUGCCUGGUGCCUAUUCUGCCUGACAGCAUAGGCCUGGUGAAUGGUUCCUGAGAGAAAAGGAGAAAGAAAAGGGGCCAUUACCUUGAAAAUCCCCCCAUUGGGGUUCCUGUUGCAAGGGAUGAUGGGGGCAUCCCUUGAACAUCUUCUCUAUUCUGCCUGACAGUAAUAGGUGCCUGGCGUAUGGUCCCAGAGAAAGGGAGCCAUUACCUUGAAAAUCCCCCCAAUGGAGUUCCUGUAGCAAGGGAUGGGGCAUCCCUUGAACAUCUUCCCUAUUCUGCCUGGCAGGAAUAGGUGCCUGGCGUAUGGUCCCCAGGAGAGAAAAGGACAAAGACAGUGAGAAAGAGAAAGACAGUGAGGAAUUUUCCGCCAGUCUGGGGGACAUUCUACCCAAUUGCAGCCUGGAGCCAUUCUCCCAAGAAGGGGUUCCCAUACUCCACCAAAGGUUAGAGUUUGGUACUUUCCUUGAACUGGAGUCCCGAGUGGGACUUUCCUCGCAGUUCAGAGCAUGGUCAGGUGCCAGAGGGAGGGAUCCCAAUCCAGCCUUAGGAAAAGAAACCUUCCACGGGAGUCUUGGAGAUUGGCGGCUGUCCUAAUGACUUAAGUGGCCGACCCGCGCCCACGCAAAAUUUGUCUAUUAGAGAUAAAGUCAGGAAGGAAUGGAUUAAUUCAUUCUCCAUCACCCUGAGGCUUAAGGUACUGAAUCUCUUCAAGCUGAAUGCCACAAUUUGCCCCAUAGAGUAGCCAUGGGCAGCAAACGUGGAUUCAUACAGCUGUCCGAGAAAGUUCCCGAUGGAGCAGUGAAUCUAGAUCCAUCCUUGAAAAAGAGAAAGGCAUAAGGAAGAAAAGGGCACUUACCAGAACUCGAGCUCACAAGCCGAUGAAGCAAUUCCCCGUACGGGCCACCAGAAAUGAUGCGGGGUCGGUGAGCCGAGGAGUCGAAAGAAAGAUUUCUUAGACUCUCAAGAUCUGGCAGUAGUGCUCUUUUAUUUAGAAAAUAGUGUGGAAUAGCAUGGGGACAGGACCCAUGGGCAGUCAGAGCUUCUGCUGCCGCCGCUUCUGCUGCCCCCGCUGGCAUGGGGACAGAGCCCAUGGGCAGGCAGAGCUGCUGCUGCUGCCCCCGCUGGCAUGGGGACAGGACCCAUGGGCAGCAGCAGGAGCUCUGACUGCCCGGGGGUCUUGUCCCCACUCACCAGCUCUGCCUGCCCAUGGGUCCUGUCCCCAUGCCAGUGGGGGCAGCAGCAGCGGCUCUGCCUGCCUGUGGGUCCUGUCCCCAUGCCAGCGGGGGCAGCAGAAGCGGCAGCAGAAGCUCUGACUGCCCAUGGGUCCUGUCCACAUGCUAUUCCACACUAUUCUCUAAAUAAAAGAGCACUACUGCCAGAUCUUGAGAGUCCAAGAAAUCUUUCUUUCGACUCCUCGGCUCACCGACCCCGCAUCAAAGCUGG